This 462-nucleotide ribosomal RNA is filed under the name uncultured bacterium. RNAcentral's name for it is "partial 16S ribosomal RNA". It matches the Rfam family "Bacterial small subunit ribosomal RNA", at positions 28 to 507 of the family's 1533-position model. The record is from RNAcentral.
GACAAACGCUGGCGGGGUGCAUGAGACAUGCAAGUCGAACGGGGAUGAUCGGGCUUGCUCGAUCAACCUAGUGGCGGACGGCUGAGUAACGCGUAGGUGACCUACCCGGAAGUGGGGAAUAACUGCACGAAAGGGUGGCUAAUACCGCAUGUGGUCGGCGGAUCGGUUCGGCGUCCAAGGCCGAUAGGCGCUUCCGGAGGGGCCUGCGUCCGAUUAGCUAGUUGGCGAGGUAACGGAUCACCAAGGCGACGAUCGGUAGCUGGUCUGAGAGGAUGAUCAGCCAGACUGGGACUGAGAACGGCCCAGACUCCUACGGGGGGUAGCAGUAGGGAAUUUUGCCCAAUGGACGAAAGUCUGAGGAAGCAACGCCGCGUGAGAGAUGAAGGCCUUCGGGUCCUAAACCUCUUUUCCCAGGGAAGAUCCAAGACGGUACCUGGAGAAUAAGACAGGGCUAACUCCGUG